This 397-nucleotide ribosomal RNA is filed under the name uncultured bacterium. RNAcentral describes it as "partial 16S ribosomal RNA". It matches the Rfam family "Bacterial small subunit ribosomal RNA", at positions 523 to 918 of the family's 1533-position model. The record is from RNAcentral.
AUACGUAGGGGGCAAGCGUUAUCCGGAUUUACUGGGUGUAAAGGGAGCGUAGACGGUUUGGCAAGUCUGAAGUGAAAGCUCGGGGCUCAACCCCGGAACUGCUUUGGAAACUGCCUGACUGGAGUGCAGGAGGGGUAAGCGGAAUUCCUAGUGUAGCGGUGAAAUGCGUAGAUAUUAGGAGGAACACCGGUGGCGAAUGCAGCGUACUGAACUAGAACUGACGGUGAGGCUCGAAAACGUGGGGAGCAAACAGGAUUAGAUCCCCGGGUAGUCCACGCCCUAAACGAUGAAUACUAGGUGUCGUGUUGCUAUAGAGAUUCGGUGCCGCAGCAAACGCAAUAAGUAUGCCGCCUGGGGAGUACGUUCGCAAGAAUGAAACUCAAAUGAAUUGACGGGG